This is a long non-coding RNA of Gambusia affinis (western mosquitofish), 564 nucleotides long. RefSeq lists it as uncharacterized. The transcript is spliced from 3 exons. The record is from RefSeq and is a predicted model, not a curated record. Lineage: Eukaryota; Metazoa; Chordata; Actinopteri; Cyprinodontiformes; Poeciliidae.
UGCCCCAAAUAGACUGGAGCAGAGGAGGCGUCUCAAAAAAUAUGAAAAUAUUUAGGAUAUGAUCUACCUUUAUUCCAGAUCUGUCUGGAAUAAAGAUGUGCAUUUAAAGUUUAGAGUUGGGGUUUCCAUUUUAAAUCAGUUCAUGAGGAACUGUGUGUGUUCGGUUGAAGACUGAAGGAUGUGGACGCGUUAGCUUAGCUUCUUUUUAUGUUCCAUUUCACGCAAAGCCUUAUAAAAUAAUCAUAAGUGAUGAUAUGUGGGUACAGAGAGAAGCUCCGGCUCUCUGUGUAAAAGUUCAGAGUCUCAGCGGCAUGAAGCUGGAGGAGCAGAGCGUUCGAUCAUCUUCAUCCUGUCAGCGCAAAGACAAAGAGCUGCCUCCGAGCAAGAAGAGCUGGUCAUAGGGGCUCCUGCUGUCCUGUCACACCACACCGAGAUCAACCCGAGUCUCCUGCUGGGCAGCCAGGAGGUGCUGACUGGAGUUAGAGCCUUGGUUUUAGUUCAUGUUGCAUGAGAAUAGUUGCUGCUUUCCAGGUGAACAGAUUGUGUCUUUCCAGUCAAUGGGGG